This 451-nucleotide ribosomal RNA is filed under the name uncultured bacterium. RNAcentral describes it as "bacterial SSU rRNA". It matches the Rfam family "Bacterial small subunit ribosomal RNA", at positions 29 to 507 of the family's 1533-position model. The record is from RNAcentral.
AACGAACGCUGGCGGCAUGCCUAACACAUGCAAGUCGAACGAAGUCUUCGGACUUAGUGGCGCACGGGUGCGUAACGCGUGGGAAUCUGCCCUUGGGUUCGGAAUAACAGUUAGAAAUGACUGCUAAUACCGGAUGAUGUCUUCGGACCAAAGAUUUAUCGCCCAGGGAUGAGCCCGCGUAGGAUUAGGUAGUUGGUGGGGUAAUGGCCCACCAAGCCGACGAUCCUUAGCUGGUCUGAGAGGAUGAUCAGCCACACUGGAACUGAGACACGGUCCAGACUCCUACGGGAGGCAGCAGUAGGGAAUAUUGGACAAUGGGCGGAAGCCUGAUCCAGCCAUCCCGCGUGUAGGAAUAAGGCCCUAUGGGUUGUAAACUACUUUUAUUAGGAAGAAAACUUUGAUUUAUCAGAGCUUGACGGUACCUAAGGAAUAAGCACCGGCUAACUCCGUG